RNAcentral lists this ribosomal RNA (2849 nucleotides) under Shigella flexneri. RNAcentral's name for it is "partial 23S ribosomal RNA". It matches the Rfam family "Bacterial large subunit ribosomal RNA". Lineage: Bacteria; Pseudomonadati; Pseudomonadota; Gammaproteobacteria; Enterobacterales; Enterobacteriaceae. The record is from RNAcentral.
GCGAUAAGCGUCGGUAAGGUGAUAUGAACCGUUAUAACCGGCGAUUUCCGAAUGGGGAAACCCAGUGUGAUUCGUCACACUAUCAUUAACUGAAUCCAUAGGUUAAUGAGGCGAACCGGGGGAACUGAAACAUCUAAGUACCCCGAGGAAAAGAAAUCAACCGAGAUUCCCCCAGUAGCGGCGAGCGAACGGGGAGCAGCCCAGAGCCUGAAUCAGUGUGUGUGUUAGUGGAAGCGUCUGGAAAGGCGUGCGAUACAGGGUGACAGCCCCGUACACAAAAAUGCACAUACUGUGAGCUCGAUGAGUAGGGCGGGACACGUGGUAUCCUGUCUGAAUAUGGGGGGACCAUCCUCCAAGGCUAAAUACUCCUGACUGACCGAUAGUGAACCAGUACCGUGAGGGAAAGGCGAAAAGAACCCCGGCGAGGGGAGUGAAAAAGAACCUGAAACCGUGUACGUACAAGCAGUGGGAGCACGCUUAGGCGUGUGACUGCGUACCUUUUGUAUAAUGGGUCAGCGACUUAUAUUCUGUAGCAAGGUUAACCGAAUAGGGGAGCCGAAGGGAAACCGAGUCUUAACUGGGCGUUAAGUUGCAGGGUAUAGACCCGAAACCCGGUGAUCUAGCCAUGGGCAGGUUGAAGGUUGGGUAACACUAACUGGAGGACCGAACCGACUAAUGUUGAAAAAUUAGCGGAUGACUUGUGGCUGGGGGUGAAAGGCCAAUCAAACCGGGAGAUAGCUGGUUCUCCCCGAAAGCUAUUUAGGUAGCGCCUCGUGAAUUCAUCUCCGGGGGUAGAGCACUGUUUCGGCAAGGGGGUCAUCCCGACUUACCAACCCGAUGCAAACUGCGAAUACCGGAGAAUGUUAUUACGGGAGACACACGGCGGGUGCUAACGUCCGUCGUGAAGAGGGAAACAACCCAGACCGCCAGCUAAGGUCCCAAAGUCAUGGUUAAGUGGGAAACGAUGUGGGAAGGCCCAGACAGCCAGGAUGUUGGCUUAGAAGCAGCCAUCAUUUAAAGAAAGCGUAAUAGCUCACUGGUCGAGUCGGCCUGCGCGGAAGAUGUAACGGGGCUAAACCAUGCACCGAAGCUGCGGCAGCGACGCUUAUGCGUUGUUGGGUAGGGGAGCGUUCUGUAAGCCUGUGAAGGUGUGCUGUGAGGUAUGCUGGAGGUAUCAGAAGUGCGAAUGCUGACAUAAGUAACGAUAAAGCGGGUGAAAAGCCCGCUCGCCGGAAGACCAAGGGUUCCUGUCCAACGUUAAUCGGGGCAGGGUGAGUCGACCCCUAAGGCGAGGCCGAAAGGCGUAGUCGAUGGGAAACAGGUUAAUAUUCCUGUACUUGGUGUUACUGCGAAGGGGGGACGGAGAAGGCUAUGUUGGCCGGGCGACGGUUGUCCCGGUUUAAGCGUGUAGGCUGGUUUUCCAGGCAAAUCCGGAAAAUCAAGGCCGAGGCGUGAUGACGAGGCACUACGGUGCUGAAGCAACAAAUGCCCUGCUUCCAGGAAAAGCCUCUAAGCAUCAGGUAACAUCAAAUCGUACCCCAAACCGACACAGGUGGUCAGGUAGAGAAUACCAAGGCGCUUGAGAGAACUCGGGUGAAGGAACUAGGCAAAAUGGUGCCGUAACUUCGGGAGAAGGCACGCUGAUACGUAGGUGAAGCGACUUGCUCGUGGAGCUGAAAUCAGUCGAAGAUACCAGCUGGCUGCAACUGUUUAUUAAAAACACAGCACUGUGCAAACACGAAAGUGGACGUAUACGGUGUGACGCCUGCCCGGUGCCGGAAGGUUAAUUGAUGGGGUUAGCGCAAGCGAAGCUCUUGAUCGAAGCCCCGGUAAACGGCGGCCGUAACUAUAACGGUCCUAAGGUAGCGAAAUUCCUUGUCGGGUAAGUUCCGACCUGCACGAAUGGCGUAAUGAUGGCCAGGCUGUCUCCACCCGAGACUCAGUGAAAUUGAACUCGCUGUGAAGAUGCAGUGUACCCGCGGCAAGACGGAAAGACCCCGUGAACCUUUACUAUAGCUUGACACUGAACAUUGAGCCUUGAUGUGUAGGAUAGGUGGGAGGCUUUGAAGUGUGGACGCCAGUCUGCAUGGAGCCGACCUUGAAAUACCACCCUUUAAUGUUUGAUGUUCUAACGUGGACCCGUGAUCCGGGUUGCGGACAGUGUCUGGUGGGUAGUUUGACUGGGGCGGUCUCCUCCUAAAGAGUAACGGAGGAGCACGAAGGUUGGCUAAUCCUGGUCGGACAUCAGGAGGUUAGUGCAAUGGCAUAAGCCAGCUUGACUGCGAGCGUGACGGCGCGAGCAGGUGCGAAAGCAGGUCAUAGUGAUCCGGUGGUUCUGAAUGGAAGGGCCAUCGCUCAACGGAUAAAAGGUACUCCGGGGAUAACAGGCUGAUACCGCCCAAGAGUUCAUAUCGACGGCGGUGUUUGGCACCUCGAUGUCGGCUCAUCACAUCCUGGGGCUGAAGUAGGUCCCAAGGGUAUGGCUGUUCGCCAUUUAAAGUGGUACGCGAGCUGGGUUUAGAACGUCGUGAGACAGUUCGGUCCCUAUCUGCCGUGGGCGCUGGAGAACUGAGGGGGGCUGCUCCUAGUACGAGAGGACCGGAGUGGACGCAUCACUGGUGUUCGGGUUGUCAUGCCAAUGGCACUGCCCGGUAGCUAAAUGCGGAAGAGAUAAGUGCUGAAAGCAUCUAAGCACGAAACUUGCCCCGAGAUGAGUUCUCCCUGACCCUUUAAGGGUCCUGAAGGAACGUUGAAGACGACGACGUUGAUAGGCCGGGUGUGUAAGCGCAGCGAUGCGUUGAGCUAACCGGUACUAAUGAACCGUGAGGCUUAACCUUACAACGCCGAAG